GAAAUGCGAUAAGUAAUGCGAAUUGCAGAAUUCAGUGAAUCAUCGAGUCUUUGAACGCACAUUGCGCCCCCUGGCAUUCCGGGGGGCAUGCCUGUCCGAGCGUCAUUGCUGCCCUUCAAGCCCGGCUUGUGUGUUGGGUCGUCGUCCCCUCCGGGGGACGGGCCCGAAAGGCAGCGGCGGCACCGCGUCCGGUCCUCGAGCGUAUGGGGCUUUGUCACCCGCUCGAUAAGGACCGGCCGGGCGCCAGCCGGCGUCUCCAACCUUUUUUUCUCAGGUUGACCUCGGAUCAGGUAGGGAUACCCGCUGAACUUAAGC
Molecule: unclassified non-coding RNA, 315 nt
Filed under: plant metagenome
Description: partial contains 5.8S ribosomal RNA, internal transcribed spacer 2, and large subunit ribosomal RNA
Rfam family: 5.8S ribosomal RNA (bases 1-105)
Source: RNAcentral